CACCAGAGAACACACACAGGAGAGAAACCUUAUAGCUGUGGUCAAUGUGGGAGGAGUUUUACCACAUCUAGCGGUCUGACAUUACACCAGAGAACACACACAGGAGAGAAACCUUAUAGCUGUGAUCAAUGUGGGAGGAGUUUUACUACAUCUAGCAUUCUGACAGUACACCAGAGAACACACACAGGAGAGAAACCUUAUAGCUGUGAUCAAUGUGGGAGGAGUUUUGUUCAAGCUAGCCAUCUGACUCAACACCAGAGAACACACACAUGAGAGAAACCUUAUACUUGUGAUUUAUGUGGGAGGAGUUUUGUUCAAGCUAGCAAUCUGACUCAACACCAGAGAACACACACAGGAGAGAAACCUUUUAGCUGUGAUCAAUGUGACAAGAGAUACUCUGAUAACAGAUCUCUGAUCAAAAAGUCAGAAAAUACAUGCAUGAAGAAGUUGUUUCAUGAUAUCACUGAAAUAAUGUCACAAUGUAGAAUGUUUUAACAUUGUAGUAGGAGUAUUUUAAUGAUGUCACAAUGUAGAAUGUUUUAACAUUGUAGGAGUAUUUUAAUGAUGUCACAAUGUAGAAUGUUUUAACAUUGUAGUAGGAGUAUUUUAAUGAUGUCACAAUGUAGAAUGUUUUAACAUUGUAGUAGAAGUGUUUUAAUGAUGUUCUACCUUAUCGUUUACCCUGUUCAAUUGAUUGCAGCAUGAUAUGGAUAUUAGCCUCAGGGGAAAAUCCAGGCUCUGAAUUGAAAUAUUAUUUAACAAAGUGAGUAACAAAAAAAGAGCUGUGUUACACUUACUGCGUUGGUGACCCACUUUAAUCAAAAUGCAGCACUUCAAAAUGUAGCUAGCUGUUUUCUACUAGUUGAAAAAGCUGCUUGUUUAAAAAAAUACAUGUAAUAUAAUAAUUGUUGCAGAUGUUUGUAUUUUCACACAUGAAAGCAGUAUAAUAAAUUGGUCUAUAAUCAAUUUGAUUAA
Oncorhynchus mykiss (rainbow trout) is the source of this 975-nucleotide non-coding RNA. Lineage: Eukaryota; Metazoa; Chordata; Actinopteri; Salmoniformes; Salmonidae. The record is from RefSeq and is a predicted model, not a curated record.